Molecule: long non-coding RNA, 446 nt
Organism: Nicotiana attenuata
Lineage: Eukaryota; Viridiplantae; Streptophyta; Magnoliopsida; Solanales; Solanaceae
Exons: 3
Source: RefSeq, a predicted model, not a curated record
ACUAUUUCUUAGAGCUGAAGCGAACUACCCAGCUCUGGCCUUUCUAUUUUCUAUAUAAUACCCAUAAACUAAAUUGCGAUCGAGCAACGACGACACUUGUCAAUUCCUCCCUUUACACACUAUCGACGGGAACGUACUCGCCCUUCAUACCGAAUAUGACGAAAAUGUCCUUACUUCCAUAGGCAAUGAGCUAGCUACCUGUGGCUCAAUUCAACGUUGACCGUAAACUAAGGGCUUUUUCGACCGCCAAUCAACUUCUCUCAGCAUUUUUCUUCCUUAACCAGCUUGUACAGGUGGCAUAAUGGUUAGAAGACAACAGUUAUCCUCCCAUAUUAUCCAUCAAAAAAUGAGUUGGAUAAUGAACCAUUUAAAAUCAGUUAUCCACCCAUAUUAUCCUUGUAUUGUUGUCCCUUCAUUUUAAUAACAUACUUUUCCCACAAAGUAAA